This 1113-nucleotide long non-coding RNA is filed under the name Sinocyclocheilus grahami. Its description in RNAcentral is "lncRNA (ENSSGRG00000045364.1)". Lineage: Eukaryota; Metazoa; Chordata; Actinopteri; Cypriniformes; Cyprinidae. The record is from RNAcentral.
CCUAUGGCUAUGAGACGUGGGAAUGGAAGGAAGGCAUCCGGGGAUAUUCCUAUCCUCUCCUCUUCGCUCUGAUGUACAAACUCCUGCAUCUGAUGAAUUAUGACACAGUUUAUUUAUUGGUAAGACUUCAGUGCAUUAUAUAGGCCAGACAGCAGGUCUGAUUGUUCUCUAACAUGAAUACCGGUUCCUGCAGGUGUUUGUGCCGCGUAUUUUCCAGGCGCUGCUGGCUGCGUAUGCAGACGUGAUGCUGUACAACCUCGUCCUGCGGUGGGAAAACUCCAGAUGUGGCCAAAUGGACAUAUUUCUGUCAGCUGUGUUCAUGGUUCACCUGGUUCUGCUGCAGCCGGACUCUGACCAACACUAUGGAAACGGUUCUGACCACCCUGGCGCUUUGCUUUUACUCCAACACGCACAACAGGUGGGUCAUUCUUUGUCAACUCAACCAAAUUUUAGAUUUUGCUAAUAUUUUUUCUGAAGAAAGAUAAACAUGUAUAGUGAUGAAAGCCAAAAUAUUAAAUGUCAUGGAUAAAUAUUUACGGAGUAAUCCGGUAUUUUGUAGAGAGGGGUCAAAUUGGCAAUUUUCACCUGAAAUUCAGAGUCAAAUUACAAGUGGUUAAUAAUGACUUCAGAAAGAUGGCAGCAUCAUAAUGUUAUUUUUACACAGAGAUUCUGUUAGUAAAAUCUGUUCACUCUAGCAAUCUGUGUUGCAUUAUGUGCUAAAGGUGACCAAAAAAUAAAUAAAUCGAAAUAUUGAGAAAAUUGCUUUUAAAGUUGUCCAAAUGAAGUUCUUAGCAAUGCAUUUUACUAAUCAAAAAUUAAGUUUUGAUGUAUUUAUGAUAGGAAAUUACAAAAUAUCAUCAUGGAACAUGAUCUUUACUUAAUAUCCUAAUGAUUUUUGGCAUAAAAGAAAAAUGGAUAAUUUUGACCCAUACAAUGUAUUUUUGGUUAUUGCUACAAAUAUACCCCAGCGACUUAAGACUGCUUUUGUGCUCAAUAUGCAACAAUAUGCAAUGUGGUCCAAUGAUGGAAUUAUGAUAGCUUGUAAUUCAAUGAGAUCUUUAUUACAGUAGAGCAGAUACUUAAAUAAAUGUACAAACCCGAUUCCAAAAAAGU